RNAcentral lists this long non-coding RNA (575 nucleotides) under Cicer arietinum (chickpea). RNAcentral describes it as "long non-coding RNA (CARI_LNC002490)". The record is from RNAcentral. Lineage: Eukaryota; Viridiplantae; Streptophyta; Magnoliopsida; Fabales; Fabaceae.
AAUUUAUUUAUCCAUCCAAAAGAUGAUAAUGUGGCAACUUUUUUAAGUGAUGUCAACCUUUUAAAAAAAUAAAUUCAAAGAAAAAUAAUUUAGAGUUUCAUCUUUCCUAGUUUUCCCUUUUCCCUCAAUACCCCUACAUCUUCUUCUGGUCUCUUCCCUCUUCAAGAUGAUUUCCAAAAAUAAUUUAGUUGAGUAUUUGGAAAUUCAUUUUGAAACAAAAGAUGAUUUCAAGAUUGAGUUGGUAAUUUAUGGAAGAGAUGGGUUAGCCUUGAAGACUAGAGUGCAAAGACCUUGCAGAGAAAGUGAGACUUGGAAAUAUAUAUGAUCGAUCUAAUUGAAACACUUGAAUUGGAGCCACGGGAUGCAUUAGUGAGCCUACAAACAUGGACAUGGGUUCUGAUGAAUAGAAGUAGCUUGAGUUCAUAAAUAGGAUAUGUCAUGCUUUUAUUGGCUAUUUUAGUCGUUGCAACUUACUUGCCAUUUGAGUGAAUUAUGGUCAAUUGUUCACAGUUCUCAAAUGAAUAGUAAAUGUUUUGGGAUACCAAAAAAGUUAUAUGCAAGAGAUAUAGAUUUAG